Molecule: long non-coding RNA, 936 nt
Organism: Nerophis ophidion (straightnose pipefish)
Lineage: Eukaryota; Metazoa; Chordata; Actinopteri; Syngnathiformes; Syngnathidae
Exons: 2
Source: RefSeq, a predicted model, not a curated record
UGAAUUGAUUUUAUUUUGAGCACCUCUAAUAGUAAUACUUAUUUUAUCAUCAAUAAUAAGUAUAAUAUAUGUGGAGUAUAUCAUAACAAGUAUGUAAUUAACCAAUUAUUGCAAUUUAAAAUACCUCAUACUGUAACAAUUAUUUAACUGCUAAAAUUGUCAGGAAAUGGGAAAACGUUUAUUUUAAGUUUUCCAAUUUUAUUAACUAAAAUGUGCAAUAUAGCGACUGUAUCUACUCUAAACUGCUACACCAAAAGCAUUUUAUUAAACAACCAGUUUUAUUAUACGUAAUAUCGAAAUGGAUCAGAGCUGUUUAUCUUUUUUAGGAAUGUAGUUACUCAUAGAACUCACACCCAAUGUUAUUAAAAAAGUAUAUAUUUUGAAUCGAUAAUCAAUUUUUCAUCGAACCGUUAUUCCCCAUAUGUCACGGCGUGGAUGCGAACCCAAGAUUCUCCCGCAGCAGGUUCCCACACUCUUUCUGGCAGCAUGCCAGUACACGCACCACGCCCACGCUUCGCCGCAGCUGCAGGCUGCCUGUCAUCAGAGCACCCGGCAGCAAUCAAAGGGACAGCAUAAGAUCCAGUCACUCCUUGGAUCCUGCGCCGGAACGUCGUAAACUCUCGUAUGCCCACCUUGUUCCGUGUGCUCGAGCGCUGGAUCUCGAUGUCCUCCCGGAAAUUGGACUGCCUCCUUCGAUCCUCGAUCACUCGCCUAGACUCGGACAUUGUUGCUUGCCACUUGCCCCCGACCUCCUGCCUGUCUCCGGAUCUCCCUUGUGCCUACCCCCUUGGUCGGACGAAGAUUUCAUCCAUCACGCACGUACAACAUCCUCUUGAAUUCUAUACAUGGUUAACUUUACACUUAAUCCUGCAACCAGCACUGAGCAUACACAUCCCACACAAUUAUCAAAGGUUACAAUAAACCUGGCAACCUUAA